This 4257-nucleotide long non-coding RNA is filed under the name Marmota monax (woodchuck). The record is from RNAcentral. Lineage: Eukaryota; Metazoa; Chordata; Mammalia; Rodentia; Sciuridae.
GGACAGUGGAAGCAGUCAGACAUUAUUACCCCACAUGCACAUACGAUCACAUGACUGGUGUAUUUCCACAUCCUGUAUGGCAAGGAGGAUGUGAAGUUAUACUCCAUUUAUAUAUGAUGUGUCAAUGCGUUUCACUGUCAACUGUAACUCACUGUAACCAAUGCAAAAAAAUAAAAAAUAAAAAAAGAAUCCAAGAAUUACAAACCUAUAGAAAUUAAAACACUGUGGUGCUAAAAAGUACACAAUCUACAGACCAAUGCCAGGGUGAUCCCCCAAGAGCUUGCUGCACACUCAGCUUUGACCAGUGAGCCCAUAAUAGAUAAAGGACAGUCUCUUUGACAAAUGGUGCUGAGGACACUUGAUAUCCACAUGCAGAGGAGAGAAAUCAGAGACUUAUCUCCCACCAUACCAUACCAAAGAUCAACUCAAAAGGGAAAAAAGUGAAUGAUGAGACUUGAAUCUGUAACCUUCCUAGAGGAAGAUCCUGGGGCCCCAUGUACCCACCCCUCCCCAUCCUUCUAAAGUGAUGCGUAUCAUCUCGAUUCUAGUUGGAUCCCUACAGAGUGUGACGUGGAUCUGAAUAUCAUGCUGUACUGAUUAGCAGGCAAAGUUAUUAUGUUUCUAUCUAAAAUCAAAGAAGAAUAACUUGGUGAGUAAAAUAUAAAAAGAAAACACAAACGUCUGACAGCAUUGCUUUAGGAAAUGGUCCCUUAGCUGUGACACUAUGACACGGGACAGAAUCAUAAAUAGGCAAGUGAAACGUCAUCAAACCAAGAGCUUCUGCACAGCAAGGAAAGCAAGAACAGAGAAAAGGAUCCAGCUGACAAUGAGAGAAGUUACCUGCAUAUCCCCUAAGAGCACAGUGUCUCAAUACAGAGGUCAUCCCUGGAACUCUAGCAAGACACGGGUAAAAACACCUAGAGUCCCAGUGGUUCAGGAGGCUACUUGGGGAGGAUCACAAGGUGGAGGCCAGCCUCAGCAAGUGAGCAAGGCCCUAAGCAACUCAGUGAGGCCCUGUCUCUAAAUAAAAAUAUAAAUAAAAUGAUCUGGGAUGUGGCUCAGUGGUUAAGUGCCCUGGGUUCAAUCCCUAGUGGAAAAGGUCAGAAAAAACUUAAAAUUCUAUAUUUGUUAAAUUCAUCAUUUUGAUCCAAUAUGCCUAUGUUAAUAUGGUUUUCUGAUUACACUCUGCUUUAUUCUAAGGCCAACUUACAAGGGUUAACUCUCGAUCUAAUAGGUUUUAAAAAAUAAGCUACAAGGCUUUUGUUUGUUUGCUUUGUGUGGGUUCACUGGUAUAUGUAUUUGAUACAAAAAAAAUUGAUCUAUGAGCUCAUAAAUUAAAAGUUUUAAAAAAUGGAUCCAAAUACCUUUGGUUAAUAUGAUUUUAAAAGUUCAAUUUAAAUUGGAAAAAUAAAUAAAAGUACAAAUGUCUUUAAAGUUACUAAUGUACAGUUUUGUUUCUAGAUGGUUAAACAGCUGUUAAAAUGUUAAUGUCUAUAAAGUGACAUCCAUGGUCUCUAGGAUUUUUCUUUAACAGGAAAAGGUUACUAAUACUAUUCAAUGCACUUGUCUGAUACUUCGUUUUAAAAAAAAGAUACGUAAAUUACACUUAAAUGUAUAUGAAAUUAAUCAUGAAUGUGUUUGUUAGAGACAUCUAAUUGGUUUACAAAGUUAAAAUGCUAACUGUUAAAUGUAAUAUCAAGAACUCUUAACUCCUUAAGUUCCAUAAGGUACACACACACACACACACACACACACAAACUUGGUGUUUUCAUAAAUUGUGUAACUAAAAAAAAAUAAAAUUAUUUUGUAUUAUCAUAAAAACAAGGUUACUAUAAAUUAAAAGUCCCAACAGGUAUAAUUCUACAUACAAGGAGUCAAGAGGUUUCAACUGCAGUUCAAUUAAAGUACUGUAAAUAACAAAAAUUAAUCCAUUUUAAUAAGGUAAAAUAUUUAUCUAAAUUUAGAAAUUUAUAAGGGUUAUUUUAAGGUACAAACAAAAAGAAGGAUCAGUGGAUUUAAAAUGAUCAAAAAGUCCUAAAUAUAAGAAUAUAUUUAGUAAAAAAACAUUUCCAGGUUAAAAAAAAUCUAUGUGGUAAAGUAUAAUUAGAAUACGUCCAAGUAAACCACAAGGGUCUAAUAAUAUAAAGAUCUACGAAUAAGAGAUAAAUAUUAAAAGGUUUAUAUGUAACUAAGCUGGUUAUAUAUGUAACACAAAUAGGGAACAACCUUGAAUAAUUUUAACUAAGGACAAAUAUUAAUGUUCUGAUAUAUUUAUAUCUUCAAAUGACAAAAACUCCUAAAAAUAUAAGUUACAUUGUGUGUUAAGUUUUAUCCCCUAGAGCAAGUAAUCUUGGAAAAAUUAAGGUUUGUACAUCUGUGGUUAGACAGCAACUGUUACUUUAAAGUAUUGUCCUACGUUACAGAGUCUAGAUUUGUUUAAAAGCUAACCUUGGUCAGUAUAAAAACAUCAAUAAAAGUGUGGCACGUUACUCUUCUCUACAGAUUAAAUGUGCUCAUAUCUUUCAGGUAUAAAAGUCUUUAAGGUAAAAGGCUUUGAUAGGCCUUGCUAUGAGGACAAUUUCCCUCCACCUCCUGGUAAGCAAUUAUUGAUUUCUGUCAUUUUCAUGAUAUUCAUGGACAGAUUCCAGAUGCUACAACUGCUAUUUUGUGGUAAUCUUUUUUCACUACUCAUGUCUUUUUGUCUCUCUCAUAGAGGUGCCCACCCCACGUGAAUUUACAUCCUGGUCUUCCUGAAUUAGAUUUUUACCAUGGACUCCUUGACCCACUCAGUUUCUAAAAAAGGACUCCAAACUGCUUGCCCACUGCACAUUGCUCCCCUCUCAGAUCAAAGCAAGAACAGUCAUCGCCCUUUUCCUAACCAGUAGGAGGUCCCUAAAAUUAGGGGGAAAAUCACGAUCAGUAUAGGUGUUCACCACUAUGUCUGGUUCAGGAAGAUGGACCUGGAAAACUACUCCCAAGACCACCCUGGGUGACCUCCCAGAAAGAGACACUUGCUCCCACAACCCAACUUGUAAGUGGGACAACUCCCCAUUCACCAAAAAUUGUACUUCCCGGGUCCCACUUCGAACUCCUUGCCCAAGUCUCCAAACUGUCAAUAACUCUGAACUAUGGAACCUACUAUUUUGAUGGAGUUUAAAAAGGAAAGGAACACCUGGACUUAUUACAAGGCCAGGGCCCACUGAUUUAUCAACCCAGAUGGGUUGCCCCCAUUGGAGUUCCCCUCCUGGCUGGUUUGGGAAUAGCUGGAUCUGCUGCUUUAGGAAGGCAGCUCUGACCACAGGCUCUAAAAAUGUUAAGUCCCUCAGCCUCAGAUAGAUAGAGAUUUAGGAGAACUAGAAAGGUCAGUCUCCAAACUAGAGGUGUCCCUAGACGCUCUGACAGAAAUAGUCUUACAAAACAGAUGAGGUCUAGAGCGUCUCUUUCUAAAACAAGGAGGACCUAAAACAAUUACCAUUUCUAAAACAAUGUAUGGCCCUAGGAGAAACUUGUUGUUUCUAUGCAAACCAUUCUGGGAUAAUCAAGGACAGUUUGGUGCUAAUGAGAAACAGGUUAAAGGAAAGAAAGGAAGCACAAGACACUUCAGGCAAUUGGUUCCAAAACCUAUUCUCAUGGUCCCCUUGGUUGAGUAUCAUCAUUUCAGCCAUAGUUGGGCCCCUUCUCCUGAUUGGGAUUCCUGUAGGAUGCUGCCUCUUAAAAACCCUCCUAAACCAUAUACACAAGAAUGUAGGUGAGGUCCAACUUAUGGGCUUGUGAGCCCAGUAUGGUCCCUUAGUCACAGAAGGAUGGGAAAGAAACUGAGGCCUAAUGAUGUGCGAGAUUGACAUCAAACCUACUAAAACCAUGUGCUAGUAAAAGCAAAUGUGACUCCAUUUUGUUUUGUGACUCCAUUCUGUAGAACAACCAGGUCAAGUACAAGGGUCAUGACUGGGGCAAGAUGUUCUUUUCCUUUUGCUAUGGAAACCUUUAAGAACAUGGAACUACCUAAUGGGGCAUUGUUUCUGUAACUGGGGUGACUGGGCUGUGAUUGGUUAGGCUUCCGCCACCUGACUGCACUCUCCUGCUUCUGUGACCUGGCUUGCUUGCAUUGGCUAGACCCCCCUGAACAUCCCUUUUGUGGUUUUAGACUUAUAAGAAGCGCCCUUGAAAUUGUCCGGGGCUGAUCAGGGACGCAGCUUUAUAUUCUGGCCAGCUGCCGCCGGUGUGCUUCAAUAAAGGCUUGACUCAAUUAUAUGUGAG